This 454-nucleotide ribosomal RNA is filed under the name uncultured bacterium. RNAcentral describes it as "partial 16S ribosomal RNA". It matches the Rfam family "Bacterial small subunit ribosomal RNA", at positions 28 to 507 of the family's 1533-position model. The record is from RNAcentral.
GAUGAACGCUGGCAGCAUGCUUAACACAUGCAAGUCAACUUGAACUUCGGUUUGGUUGCCGGUCGGGUGAGUACCGCGAAAAGAACUUUCCUCACAGCUAGGGACAACUUUUGGAAACGAAUGCUAAUACCAGAUAUUAUGAUUUUAGGGCAUCCUAGAAUUAUGAAAUCUAUAUGCGCUGUGAGAGAGCUUUGCGUCCCAUUAGCUAGUUGGAGAGGUAACGUCUCAGCAAGGCGAUGAUGGGUAGCCGCCCUGGGAGGGUGACCGGCCACAAGGGGACGGGGACACGGCCCUUACUCAUUCUGGAGGAAUGGGUGAGGAAUAGUGGACAAUGGACCAAGAGUGUGAUGAAGGAAUUCUGUGUGCAAGACGAAGUUUUUCGGAAUGAAAAGAGCUGUCAGUUGGGAAGAAAGAAAUGACGGUACCAACAGAAGAAGUGACGGCUAAAUACGUG